RNAcentral lists this long non-coding RNA (488 nucleotides) under Musa acuminata (dwarf banana). Its description in RNAcentral is "long non-coding RNA (MACU_LNC004200)". Lineage: Eukaryota; Viridiplantae; Streptophyta; Magnoliopsida; Zingiberales; Musaceae. The record is from RNAcentral.
UUUUUCAGGACGACUCCGCCGCACCACCCGCUUCGCCUCCGACGUCGAUCUCCGACAUGCCCAAGGGUCGCCGUAGACGAGAAGCCGGCGCAUCCGCCUCCGGUGAUGAGAGGAGGAAGAAGCGGAAAUCGAUCGCCAAUCUGCUGACCUCCAUCGCGGCGAUCGACGCCCAGGAUGAGUCCGAGCGGCGCGAGUCCGACGAAGACUCUCGCCGCGAGCUCUCACUUCUCGAGGAGAACCACCACCGGAAGGCUGAGGUCAUGCUCGACUACUACUCCCGCCUCGAGGACAACUUCUCCGCCCUCGACGAUGACGCUGACACCCUCCGCUCCAAGCGCGUCCGAGUAGCCGCCUCUGCGGUCGCCGCUGCAGCGGCGGCGGCCUCCGCUUCCGUCGAGAACGACGCUGGCCCUGCCACUUCCGCCGCCGGAAGCGGCCACCAGCAGAGGCGGCUUUGGGUGAAGGACCGGUCGCGAGCGUGGUGGGAC